RNAcentral lists this long non-coding RNA (967 nucleotides) under Homo sapiens (human). Its description in RNAcentral is "non-protein coding lnc-OR2G6-2:2". The record is from RNAcentral. Lineage: Eukaryota; Metazoa; Chordata; Mammalia; Primates; Hominidae.
AUGAUAAAGAAAAAAUGAGGAAAUGCUGUGAAGAACUAAUAGAACGUUUCAGAAGCAGAACAAGUCGAGAGCAGUGAUGACCCUUUUGUUCCUGCUAGUACCUCCUGUCUGUCUGGCCGAACUCACCAUCAGAUGAUGUCUUGAACCUCACCUAGAUGGGCUGGUGGUGUGUGGCCAGGUUAAGAGCACCAACAGGAGUAAGAAAGUGACCUGCCUGGUUUUACCGUGUGUACUAGGGGAGGGGUUGAAAGCUUUCGGUUGAUACAUCACCUCUGGGAGUUGAAGAAGAAUGCAAUUAAGAGAGCUAAAGAAGUCAGUAUAGAAUCUGAAACUCAGAGGUCAACUGAUGUGUCAAAGAUACCUCCACAAAUCAGUACCUUGAUUAAAACUAAAAUUGGAGUCAUCUUCAUAUCUCCAUCUUUCUCCCUCUUCAUUAGGACCGAUUGUAGUCUGUUUCCCUCUCACUCACUUGCAAUCUUUAUUGCUUUAGUGUUGCAUUUGAUUUUUAUCUUUGUUUUUGUUUUAAAUACUGUCAUUAAAGUCAUAGAAAAAUCUAAAAUAAAACUGGUUGAAUAAAAAUUUUAAAAUCGACUCUAAUGUAAUAAACCAGACAAAAAUGAUACUUUAAAUGUUAUAUCUUCCCUUUAAACUACAAAUAUUCAUUGAGUGUAUACCCUGUAUUAGGCUGUUGGAAUAAAACAGGGAAGAAGACAGAAGAAACUGCACCGCCAUCUUAGAUCUUGCAGCCAAAUUCCUCUGAACUUUUCUCUAAAGACGUGCUCUGGAAAAAUGUUGAUCAUUUUCCUACAUCAUGGAGGUCUUUUCAUGACCACCUUUGUCUAGACAAUGUCCUGUUUUUAGGUGCACGUUUGAGGGCUGGAGUCUCUGACCCACAGUGCUGCAGCCUGCACGUGGUUUGUCCUGACUUCUUUGCUACUUCACUUUUCGUAAGGCUCUGAGAGUGCAG